Lolium rigidum is the source of this 4245-nucleotide long non-coding RNA. RefSeq lists it as uncharacterized. The record is from RefSeq and is a predicted model, not a curated record. Lineage: Eukaryota; Viridiplantae; Streptophyta; Magnoliopsida; Poales; Poaceae. The transcript has 5 exons.
CAUGUUGUUAUAUGGUUGGCUGAGCUGAGAAAAUAUCUUCCUCCCAAUCCCCCUCCCGCAUCUCACCUGCCCCUCCUCUCCUCUCUCGAUCCGCCGCCGGCGCUCUCCACAGAGACGGCGCCCUGCCAUGCUUCCUCCCUCUCCCAGCCGCCACCUCGCGCACCUCUCCUCGCCCACGAAGCGGCCCCUCCCGCUCUCCUCCUUCGCGUCGAGGCUGGCCUUCGUUCCCUUGCGCCGCCAUCCGCGGCCUCAACUCGUCGGCGAGCUCUCUAACCGUCGCCGGCGAGUUCGUCCUCAUCUCCUCCUCUCCGAUGUGCACGAGGUGGUUGGUCGAAAUCCACGUGGCUGUGGGGGCUCGGGAGGAGUGGUGCCUAUGAGAUUUCGCGGGUAUGGGCGAUUUCCUGGCCAGGAUGCUCCUCCUCGCUGUCGAUCUGGCCGACGGCAGGGCGGUUGGUUCAUCGUGAAGAACGGCCGUCGGAGCUCCUGACCUCCGCCCCCUACUCACACCAAAGGACGGUUCCUUUAUCUCCCUCUCUCUAUAUAUUUCCUGUAUCUUCAUUUUUUAGUUAAGCAGCACAGUGCUUCUGGUUAUGCCCCUGAUUAUACAUGAUACCACCUAUUUGUUUCUCUCAUCAAUUUAAUUUUUUGUCCAUAGUUCUAUGCUUUAAAUCGGUUGAGAAAUCUAGCAGUUUUAUUUGGCUAUUGUACAGAUCUGCUCUAAUACUGCCGAACUUCUCAGUUUUCAAAUUGCUUGCGGUGAAGAUUCGGUUAAGUGUAAUCUUCAGUCCCUGUAUUUGGAAAUUGCCUACUGCAAGGUCACGGUCCAUUUGCACCCAAUAGCUGUAGGUGAAAAAUAAAACAGUGUUGUUCUAAAGAGUAGAAAUUUCCCAUUUAUAUUUUCAUUUCAGGUCAUGGUUGUCUUACAAUAAUGUGGAGUGCUGCAAAAAAUAUGUCUUUGCUGGCGGGCACUUUGAAUUUGUCCCCAAGGUAUUAUUUCAACACCUGUUGACCAUAAAUAGGGAAAUUUACAACCAUCUGUAGAAUUGGCAAAUCAUAUUAUUUGUUAUAUAUUCUAUAGCAGAUAUGCUAAGUUUGUCCAGACAUAUUGUGCCUUCCAAAUCAGUUGAAAAUGAGUGACAUUAUUGUCGAACCAUGCAACUCUCUUUUAACUCUGAAGCGUCUGAAACUAUAUGCUGAUUGUGUGGUUGUUCUUGACAAUACAACUCCUAAUAGAAUAGUCCGCCUUUGGUUGAUUUAAAUUUGGGACCAAUGGAUUUGUGUCAGACUUCCAACAUUUGGUUUCCUGUUUUUCUUGUGGCAUGCUUGACCUGGUUUAAGUUCCUGCAGUACUUUUUAAAAUUUGAUGUGUGAGAUUUGAUUUUGUUUGUGAUUUGUCCAAGUCCCGCUCGCUGGUAUCUCUGGCUACUGCUACAUCUAUGGCGGUCUCAUUACCAUCAGGUACCUGGAUGCACGGUGACGGCGGACUGCGACGCUGGACAGUCGUGAAGGUUGGAAACAUGAGACAAAACCAGACCCCAAGGUGAAACCCCUAGCGCCAAUCACGCCUCCCCCAAUCCCCGCAGCCAUCAAGCAAGAAAAAUGAAGAAUGGCUAAUCUACUUCACCUCCUGGGGCGAGAGCCCUUCCCCUAGCUCCUUCAAAGCAUAGUCCACAGUAUACACCAAUUUUUUAUCUUUUCAUUAUUUAGCCAAAUAAAUGCAGCUUAUACAUUAAAGUGGUAGACCUUGCCCAUCAACAAAAGAUUGUCAUCGUUCCCUUUGUGCUAGAUUUUGCAGCUCAAGAAGAUCCACCCCACAACUGUCUGGAAAGUGUAUAUGCAUGGUAAGAGCAUUACAGAUCAAAACAUUAAUCAAUAAGAACAUGACUGGGUAAGAUAAUCAUAUUUUCAUCACAUAAUCAAAUGGAAGUAACAAAAUAAAUCUUAAUUCCAGACUUCCAGUAAAUUCACGACUUGAAAAAACACAUUACCUGGCUAUUGACGUGAUUUCAGCUGACACAACUGCAGGAAAACCAUUCCUGCCUAUGCCUUGGGACUUUCUGAUUGAAGACUUUCAUUUCUUGAAAAAAUAUCUUUUUCCUUCUACUUCUCCCUAGCUGCAAUAUCCAUUUAUAAGAGCUGUUUAUAAUAUACAGUGGCUGCCACUUGAACUUUAACCUUUUUGAUUCAUCUGGCCUGCUUGAUGUGUGACCUCGGCAUGUUCUUGCUGCAUGUGUGGCUCUGUAACAUUUUUUGAAUUAUAGCACGAUCCCCUUGCUUUAUGGAUGUUCGCUCGGUUGUAACUUGCUGAAGAGACUGAUGGAUUAUGGAUGAUUGCCAUAAGGUGCAGGUUCUAUUAUUGAAGUGUGUUCUGCUGGUUGCGAAGGAUGUCUGCACUAAAAUAUAAUGGUGUGAUAAAAGUUAUGUGCAUACUACUAUUAUUGAUUUCAUAAUAUAUGUUCUCUUUCUAUUUCGAUGGAUCCAAUUGAAUUAUUAUUUCUUUUGCUUCAGGUGUAACAUGAUUAUAAUGAGUUUUUUUUCGCCAACUAAUAAAUUAUAUGGUUUAUAUUUAUAUAGAAAUGCACUUCCAAUACACUUCAUGCAAUCUUGCCAGAACUAAUUAAGAAUCUAGCCCCCUAUAGCCUGAUUGAUUUGUCAAGAGAAGAUGUUUUUCUUUGGCCAAUCUGAAGUUUAUAAGCUCUGUUACUUUGGUUACCUGUCUUUUCUUCAUGAAUCCUAUGGUUUCCUCUUUUAAUAUGUUAUUAUAUUCAAUGCAUGUACACUUCUGUUGGUAUUUGGAUAGAUGGUUCCUCGUGCAGCUUACAUUUACAUUGGGUUGGCAACAUGGUGCGUUCAUUUGACCAGGGCUUAGCAAACGUAGAUUUAUUCAUGGACUGUAGGUGUAGUCUGAUUAAGUAUUGGUUUUACAGGAUAUUAUUGCAAUUGGGGACAUCGAUAUGUAGUCUGAUUUGUUCAUGGAUAUUAUUGCUCUUUGAUAGGCCAUCUGGUCAAAUCAUGUGCACCACAAGAUAACAACUCUGAAAUUUGUUCACUGGGAGGAGCUUGUCGUAACUGGCUCGGCAGACAAGAUUCACUAACAGGUUAAUAUUGAGGAUUCUGCUGGUUGGAGCUCCUGGAGGAUCAUCUGUAGCCUAGAAAGUGUGCUCUGGAUGUUGGAUCAGGUACAUAUCAGAUGUGGUAUGUUCAGUUAGUUCAACUUAAAUAUCUGAAUUUUCGCAUUAUUUCAACCAAAUUAUGUUAUGUACCUAUGAAGCUAUCGAUUCUGAUCUCUAGAAACUUUUAUAUGAACGGUACUUAUUAUCUAUUUCAGUGUCCAAAUAGUCAUUGAGGUUUUGUCUCACUUUCCUAACAUUUUGUUUCUUGUCAUUGAUGCCAAUCUUUAAAGUGAUAUACUUAUGAAAUGAUAUAUUUAUAGCUUGCUAUAUAUUAUUGUACGUGCAGAAAAUUAUUUUUCUUUAGAAUACAUAUGAUCUCAUGUUUUUUAGAGAGAACGUAUGAUCCCGUCUCAUAAAAUCUUGCGGAUUAGACUAAAUAUAUUUCGAUGGGCCAAAACGCGUCUUAUACAAUGUGUAGUUGUCCAGGUCCAUUUGUUGCCAUUCUUUCUUCUGUAGACAGCCUAUGUUUCUUGGCCUUGGAAAUUUCUUGGUCUAUGCUCGAUGAUGCCCUAGAUUGUUCCCCAUUUCCUUCUCUACCCAUUUUUUCCCAUUCACUACAGUGAACUUGUGGAGGAAGUUAGACAAAAUCUCAGUAAAUUAGAAGCGUCACAAACAGACAGAAUGAACUUUUAACAGGGGUUUGUGUCUUGCAGCCUCAACGAGGAGGGUUGCAUUUUCUAACCAGAUCUACAACAUCAUAUGCAAUAACCAUUCUCUAGGCCAAUGCGAUGCAGAUGAAGCUACACAUGAAACAAUCGAUCUAUUUGAAGGCAUACCUGCUGAUCUGGGGGACAUGUAGUACAACAUUUGAAAAAGGAUUUGAAGAUCAGAAAAUUCCUAUCAAUUACAAAAGUGCAAGUUCGAUUUGACCAUGGAGGAUGUUUCUCUGCUAGGUGUUUGCUGGUCCUUAGGUGUAGGCAACUUCUGUUUUCUAGACAAUCCCGUGGUUUAGCCAAAUACCAUGUCCCUGUGCCGCUCUCUUUUCUCCUUUGGUAAUGUAAGUAAUUAUGUUUAUGACCUUCACUUCGCUUCAUUUUAUCAGCUUAUUAUAUAUGUUUCACAAAGCCUUCUU